This 253-nucleotide ribosomal RNA is filed under the name uncultured bacterium. Its description in RNAcentral is "partial 16S ribosomal RNA". It matches the Rfam family "Bacterial small subunit ribosomal RNA", at positions 524 to 776 of the family's 1533-position model. The record is from RNAcentral.
UACGUAGGGUGCGAGCGUUGUCCGGAUUUAUUGGGCGUAAAGAGCUCGUAGGCGGUUUGUCGCGUCGGCCGUGAAAUCUCCACGCUUAACGUGGAGCGUGCGGUCGAUACGGGCAGACUUGAGUUCGGUAGGGGAGACUGGAAUUCCCGGUGUAGCGGUGAAAUGCGCAGAUAUCGGGAGGAACACCGGUGGCGAAGGCGGUUCUCUGGGCCUGUACUGACGCUGAGGAGCGAAAGCGUGGGGAGCGAACAGG